GAUGAACGCUGGCGGCGUGCCUAAUACAUGCAAGUCGAGCGAACAGACGAGGAGCUUGCUCCUCUGACGUUAGCGGCGGACGGGUGAGUAACACGUGGAUAACCUACCUAUAAGACUGGGAUAACUUCGGGAAACCGGAGCUAAUACCGGAUAAUAUAUUGAACCGCAUGGUUCAAUAGUGAAAGACGGUUUUGCUGUCACUUAUAGAUGGAUCCGCGCCGCAUUAGCUAGUUGGUAAGGUAACGGCUUACCAAGGCGACGAUGCGUAGCCGACCUGAGAGGAUGAUCGGCCACACUGGAACUGAGACACGGUCCAGACUCCUACGGGAGGCAGCAGUAGGGAAUCUUCCGCAAUGGGCGAAAGCCUGACGGAGCCACGCCGCGUGAGUGAUGAAGGUCUUCGGAUCGUAAAACUCUGUUAUUAGGGAAGAACAAAUGUGUAAGUAACUCUGCACGUCUUGACGGUACCUAAUCAGAAAGCCCCGGCUAACUUCGUG
This 497-nucleotide ribosomal RNA is filed under the name uncultured bacterium. Its description in RNAcentral is "partial 16S ribosomal RNA". It matches the Rfam family "Bacterial small subunit ribosomal RNA", at positions 28 to 507 of the family's 1533-position model. The record is from RNAcentral.